AUUGAACGCUGGCGGCAUGCUUUACACAUGCAAGUCGAACGGUAACAGGUUAAGCUGACGAGUGGCGAACGGGUGAGUAAUGCAUCGGAACGUGCCCGGUCGUGGGGGAUAACGCAGCGAAAGCUGCGCUAAUACCGCAUACGAUCUGAGGAUGAAAGCGGGGGACCGUAAGGCCUCGCGCGAUCGUAGCGGCCGAUGUCAGAUUAGGUAGUUGGUGGGGUAAAGGCUCACCAAGCCAACGAUCUGUAGCUGGUCUGAGAGGACGACCAGACACACUGGGACUGAGACACGGCCCAGACUCCUACGGGAGGCAGCAGUGGGGAAUUUUGGACAAUGGGCGAAAGCCUGAUCCAGCAAUGCCGCGUGCAGGAAGAAGGCCUUCGGGUUGUAAACUGCUUUUGUACGGAGCGAAAAGGUCUCCUCUAAUACAGGGGGCUCAUGACGGUACCGUAAGAAUAAGCACCGGCUAACUACGUGCCAGCCGCCGCGGUAA
RNAcentral lists this ribosomal RNA (493 nucleotides) under uncultured bacterium. Its description in RNAcentral is "partial 16S ribosomal RNA". It matches the Rfam family "Bacterial small subunit ribosomal RNA", at positions 30 to 523 of the family's 1533-position model. The record is from RNAcentral.